RNAcentral lists this unclassified non-coding RNA (152 nucleotides) under Leptosphaeria doliolum. RNAcentral describes it as "partial internal transcribed spacer 2". The record is from RNAcentral. Lineage: Eukaryota; Fungi; Ascomycota; Dothideomycetes; Pleosporales; Leptosphaeriaceae.
GUACCCUCAAGCUUUGCUUGGUGUUGGGUGUUUGUCCGCGUUUUACGCAGACUCGCCUUAAAUCAAUUGGCAGCCGGCAUGUUAGCCUGGAGCGCAGCACAUUUUGCGCACCUUGCUGGCGGUGUUGGCCCCCAUCAAGUCCAUAUAUUUGC